This is a long non-coding RNA of Tetranychus urticae (two-spotted spider mite), 2061 nucleotides long. RefSeq lists it as uncharacterized. NCBI's taxonomy places the organism in Eukaryota, Metazoa, Arthropoda, Arachnida, Trombidiformes, Tetranychidae. The record is from RefSeq and is a predicted model, not a curated record.
UGGUCAACAUUAAAAGCUAUUGAAAUGGUUUUAAUUUAAAAGCACGAAAACAACAAAAAAAGGUUUCCUUCCAAAUUGAAUUGGUUUCACCUUUUGAAAGGCGUAAAAAUAAAGGUUCAAUUUAAGCGUGGAUCAACACGAUGAUCAUCUUAUUUAUCAUCUUCAUCAGAUCUUCAUCAGAUUAAGGGAGAAGAUGAAGAAGAAGAGAGAAAAAAAUGAACAUCAAAGUCAUCUUGUAUUACAUAAAGACCAUUGAAAAACUAAUGGAAUACAUUGACUUUUCUUGUUUCUCAAUUUCAUUUAUUUUCCUUUUCCAUCUUCAACAUCAUAAUAUCAAUUUCAUUGUGAUCAAACUGAAUCAACAGUUAAACAGGGUCAAUCAAAGGCAUUCAAGGAUAACAUUGUUCGCCCUCCUCAACAAUCAACCAACACCUCGAUCCUCAUCAUCUUCAUCAUCUUCUCUCUUCUUCUCUCCCUUAGGCUUUUCAAACCUCAAUGAUCAUCAACUAAUGUAACCAACUUCCGACUAAUCCAUGAAGAUGACGUUAAUUUAAUGUUCCUCUUCUUUCAAAGUUAACUCAAUUUGUGUCUCUUCUUGUUACUCAUCAUCAGCUGUUUUUGUCCCAAUAUUUCAUACCAUUUGUCUAAUGUAUUAAUAUUGUCUCAACUCAAUCAAGCGAAUUGUUGUUUCCCUUAAAAUGUCUUCUUUUUGUUCAAUUUCAAUUGCCUUUUUGCUACAUUAUUCAACCCUUUUUAUCAUUACAUUUCUGACCCUUUUCAUAACGCUAUUCACCGUUAACAUGUUUAAUAAUCAUUUAAAGCUUGAUCAUUUUCAUUGUUACUGUUUUAUAUUCAAAACCUUUUAUUUUUAGGUUUAGAUUCUGGUUUAACAACCCAAAAUACCGAAAGUAACUUGCACUUUCAAAUAAUUGUUUUAAAUCAACUCUGAUUACCUUGAUUAUCAUCUGAAUUGUUGAACAAUCUUCAGAUGGAAAACAAAAAGGGAGAAAAGAGCCAACAAUUGUUACUCUUGUUACCAGUGAUUAUUAAUUUAAUUACAUUCUUGCGAUGAUCCAAUGAUCUUGAUCAUCAAGGGAAACCAGUUUUUGGUUAGUUAACCAGAAUUGGUAACUUGAUUAAUACACUAAUCAUAAUGGUAAUCAUAAUAAUAGUAAUUUUUUCUUUUCUCUUGUUUUUAUACUCUUUCUACCAUUGAUAACCGGUUAUCAAUUAGUUGUCAUGUUGUAUUAACAACAACAACCAUAAUGAUAAUCAAAACCCUUAAGCUAGAACGGUUAAAUCAUUUUCAUCGUUUCCAUCAUGAUUCAUGAUUAGUAUUAAAUACUGAUCUCAGGCAAAUAAACAAAUUAAAUCACCUUCAAAGAGGCAAACAAAAACAAAUCAUCAACAUAAUUUAAAGUUGAAUGAAAUUUGGGUAAAAAAAGGAGACCAAAAAAACUGGUAAAAAAAGGAGUGUUUCAAGAGUUUAGACUGUUUUGUUUCUUGCUACUAACUGUUAACUUAAUUUUUAUUGUUGUGUUGAUAAUAGUCUCAAGGCUUACAUGAUUAUAACACUUGAUUAUAAAGGUUUCCCUAAUUAUCAACUUUGGUUCCCAUGAUUGAUUUAAGCUGAUAUUGAGUGUCGAGAGAUCAACAUUGGCUUCUUUCAUGGUUAUUAUGGUUUGAAGAUGAUAAAAGUCAAAGAGAGGAGUCAUUUUGUGGUUUGAUAAUGCCAAUAAUGUAAAGAUGAGAAUGAUGAUGAAAAGGAAAGAGAAGAUGAAAUUGGCUUAAAAUUGGAUUAAACCAGAAAAAAAGGAAAAUCUGUUGAAGAUAAAACGCUAAGGAAAACAAGUCUUGACUGUUAAACCCUUAAGAUGAUUUGAAGGAUAAUCAAUAUUCGAGCAAAUAAUUGGCCAAAAAAUGAAAGAUGAUCGAAAUGCUGAUCAUCAUUAAAAUCAUUUUUCUCAUCCUCAUCAAACUUGUUCAACUCAUACAUUUGAUGAACAAUUUAUUUUUAACAAGACACGCUUUUUUAUUAAACUCAACAUUUCAUUAUCAAAA